This 207-nucleotide ribosomal RNA is filed under the name uncultured bacterium. RNAcentral describes it as "partial 16S ribosomal RNA". It matches the Rfam family "Bacterial small subunit ribosomal RNA", at positions 568 to 774 of the family's 1533-position model. The record is from RNAcentral.
AGCGCAGGCGGGAAGACAAGUUGGAAGUGAAAUCCAUGGGCUCAACCCAUGAACUGCUUUCAAAACUGUUUUUCUUGAGUAGUGCAGAGGUAGGCGGAAUUCCCGGUGUAGCGGUGGAAUGCGUAGAUAUCGGGAGGAACACCAGUGGCGAAGGCGGCCUACUGGGCACCAACUGACGCUGAGGCUCGAAAGUGUGGGGAGCAAACA